This 2151-nucleotide long non-coding RNA is filed under the name Oncorhynchus kisutch (coho salmon). RNAcentral describes it as "lncRNA (ENSOKIG00005036579.1)". Lineage: Eukaryota; Metazoa; Chordata; Actinopteri; Salmoniformes; Salmonidae. The record is from RNAcentral.
UGAAAUGGAAGUUAUGGAACUCCUUGUACUUGUGUUAUGGGAAAAAGUUGACAAUGAAAAUGACAUUAAAUGUGGAGAAUGAUAGGCUACAUUUGCAUCUGUUGGCCAUCAAGUAGUUGAUAUGUCAUUGUAGGCUACUGUAGCCUACCAUUUAAUACAAUAAGUACAGUAUGUUGAAAUGACGAUAAGCCCAAAGGGGGCGCUUACAGUAAUCAACUGAAAUUCCAAUCUUUGAACGAGCAUAUCUCCUGUCCGGUUGGUGUUUGAAUUGUUAUCACUAAUUGGCCCAAAUGGGGGCACUGCACCAUUUGUGGGGGACAACAUGUUUACUGUUGACUUGUAUUGGAUUUUGGUUGUAUUUGACAAAUCGAGAGUUUGGGAGACUUCAAGGAUCUAAUAAAGUUAGUUAAAGUUCCUUGUCUCUUCCGCUCUGGAAGUUAAUCGUCUACCUACCAUAAAUACAAUACCAAAAGUUUUGCGCACUAACGCUUGGUAGUCUUAGGGCGAUGUUUUCAAGCACAACAGACGUACGUCUAGAACCCGCUGAAAUUCAAAGUUUAAAGUAGGAAAGGCAUCGAAUAAACAAAGUCGUUUGAAUCUUCACUGCAAUUUAUGCCCAGUCGUGACUUGUUUGCCACACACUGACAUUUCUGUUAAGGUAAGAGGAUGCUAUAUCCUACACAUUUUAGCUAACGGUAAGUCGUUUCAGCCACAUACGUUAGCUAACAGCAGUAUGCAGCAGGCUCUGGGCUGGACCUCUCAACCAGCUCAUUUGCAUAAUCGAUAGCUAGCUGGGCACUGCACUUAAUUUGGUUUAUUUUAUAGGAGCAUGGAUAGGAAACAUCGAAGUGGGUUGUCGACAACUUUGAAGACACAUAGAGGUCCUCUGUCUGACACAAAGGACAAUGUCCCCUCGUCAGAGGUCAAUGAUGUUCAGAAGAGGCGUCGCCUGAAGUUGUUGGGCGAGGAGAACGUCAGUCCUAACAAGAGUUCUUCAUCAAGAGACCACCUCUGCUGUGCAGAGCUGGAGGUGAAGCCAGACACCCCGCUCUCUGCUCUGUCCGCUCCAGAGUACAGCAACUAACCCAGAGAAGUGAGGGAGGCCCUCUACUGGCUCCGAGACCAUCCAUUAUAAUCCAGGAAGGGUUCAAAAAGCACAUUCUUAUUGGUGAGGCAGAAUUCAGCUCACGGGUGGAGCGGUUUAACGCCCCCACCACCUGUCCAGCCAGCCCUCUGCCAGGAAACUGGUGCCCCCGUACCCUCUCCAACGCCGUUACCAACUUACAGCUUAAACUUGAGGACAGUGAAACACCCAGCUCCAAGCAAGUCUCCUGCAUACGCCAGGAAAGGGAGGAGGAGCUGCGACUCUUAAGGGCCCAGCCAAUUGCAAAGAAUGUCUUUCUAAAUCAAAGAUUCUCUGAUUCCUCACUGACUGAGCAGGCAGACCUCAAUGUGACUGGUGAUGAACCUCUCUGGGUGAAGGACGGCAGCUUUACCGAGACUUCUGUCACUGCUAAGAUCCAUGGAGUGGAGCCUCCAAUCCAAGACAUUGAGGCUGAGCUGAGCUCUCAAGAUGAAACCAACACUGCUGAGAUGAUUGACCUGAUGUUUAAGGACAUGCUGGAGGCUUCUGCCCAGGGAAGGGAGAAGGAGGGCAAUGAGGAUUAUGACAGUGCCAUAGCCACAGUGAUGCGCAGAAAGGAGAAAACAGAGUUGGACAAGGAGAAAGCUGAGGAGGGUGAAGACCUGGAAGAGAUCAGGGAACUGGACUCCAGUGUAGAUGAGCUGCUGACCCUCCCACCCAGCUGCAUCCUCUCUCCUCUCAGCAGGUCUGUGGAAGCUGUGGUCACUCCAAUGAGACUUGCAGCUAGUCAGCCAGCCACCCCACCAUCCCUACCUCUGACUCCUGAAGAGCUGACCACUCCCCCUGCCGACAGUGCCCCUCUCUACAACAUCGAUGCUUACCGUACCCAGAGGCAGAGCACCAAGCCAGCUAUUCAGAGUGUAACCCCAGGGUUGCAGAGGCGUGCCGCUGAGAAGUCCCACCCCCAGAAAACUGUCAACACCAAGGACAGGAUCAUGGUUCUGAAUGAGGAGGCUGCCAAGCUACAGACGGUCAUCAAUCAGACGUUGCAGGCCCUGCUGCACUGA